ACCCCGCCCAUAGGCCAUGAGCAGCCUGACCCCGCCCCACCAGGAACUUCCCGCUGGCGGUGGCGGCGGACGGUGGCCGUGAGGGCCCAGUUCGCGCUCUCCCAUGGCGGAGCGGGAGGAUGUCGCUGGUGCUGGGGCUGCUGUCGCACACGCUGAGCAGGGUGCUGCGGUACUCCGGGCUGCGUAGGGGCUGCCAUGCCCCCCGGAGCCAGGCCAUGGAGCAGGACAAGGCGCUCGAGGUUUACGAUAUAAUCCGUACUAUCCGGGACCCGGAGAAACCGAAUACUCUAGAAGAACUGGAAGUGGUGACGGAAAGCUGUGUUGAAGUGCAAGAGAUCGGUGAAGAUGAAUAUCUGGUUAUCAUCAGGUUUACACCAACAGUACCUCAUUGCUCUUUGGCUACUCUCAUCGAUGAGGCCACAGUGGCAGCCAGGACACUCUGUCAGAGAUGUGGAAGAAAGCUGGAAAUGGAGGAUUUGUCUGUGUUUAGCGUUUCUAGGUGUUCAGAGACCUCCUAAACUUGUAAGGCAGGCCUUUGUUUAAGAAUAAAACUGCAGAGAUGUUUGCCUUUUCGACAUAAGCUGGAAAUUUACAUCUCUGAGGGUACACAUUCCACAGAGGAAGACAUCAACAAGCAAAUCAAUGACAAAGAGAGAGUAGCAGCUGCGAUGGAGAAUCCCAACCUGCGCGAAAUUGUGGAGCAGUGUGUCAUGGAGCCCGACUAGGAGCUGUAAUCGCCACAGAGUUGUCAUUUUGAUACAUUUCUAAAAAUAUCUUUGUUUAAAAAAAAAAUAAUCAAGGCCUUGAGUUGAAUACUUGAGUUCUUUUUAUCUUCCACGUGGUUUUUAAAAGAAAUUGUUUAUAAGAUAGAUUUAAAUUAUGAUUAAUUACUCUCUAAAAUAAAGUGAAGUGUAUAGUGUUAAGAGUUUGUAAUUUCUGGUGUCCAGAGAAAUAUUUUAUGAUUAAAAACAAAACAGCACAUCUGUAUUGCCUUCUGAUGGACAUUGUGAUAUAAAUUCAGUUUUGCAAGUUAAAUUUCUACAUUGUUUCAAUCACUGCACUGUAAAAAUAAAACCAAUUCUUGUACUGAAA
Columba livia (rock pigeon) is the source of this 1092-nucleotide RNA transcript. It is a transcript of the gene named cytosolic iron-sulfur assembly component 2A, with no coding region annotated. Lineage: Eukaryota; Metazoa; Chordata; Aves; Columbiformes; Columbidae. The transcript has 6 exons. The record is from RefSeq and is a predicted model, not a curated record.